CCCCUAGAUGUUCUGGGCCGCACGCGCGCUACACUGAACAGUUCAACAAGUCUUAACCUUGGCCGAUAGGUCUGGGUAAUCUUUGAACGCUGUUCGUGAUUGGGAUAGACCUUUGCAAUUAUGGGUCUUCAACGAGGAAUUCCUAGUAAACGCAAGUCAUCAGCUUGCAUUGAUUACGUCCCUGCCCUUUGUACACACCGCCCGUCGCACCUACCGAUUGAAUGGUCCGGUGAACCCUCCGGAUCGGCUCGCGCCAACGCAAGUUGAGCAAAGGCCGAGAAGUUGGGUAAACCUUACCAUUUAGAGGAAGGUGAAGUCGUAACA
This 324-nucleotide ribosomal RNA is filed under the name uncultured eukaryote. RNAcentral describes it as "partial 18S ribosomal RNA". It matches the Rfam family "Eukaryotic small subunit ribosomal RNA", at positions 1470 to 1796 of the family's 1831-position model. The record is from RNAcentral.